Molecule: long non-coding RNA, 4079 nt
Organism: Bactrocera neohumeralis
Lineage: Eukaryota; Metazoa; Arthropoda; Insecta; Diptera; Tephritidae
Exons: 2
Source: RefSeq, a predicted model, not a curated record
UUGUAUAAUAUCCCUAGAGAUUGUUUUUCUCCUCAGAGUGUUGAUAGCUUGGUAGACCAAUAAGGUACAUAACUUUUGAAGAUUUUUUUACCGGUUUUAAUUAUUUUGGUAAUCGUAUCUGUAGUGCAUGCAUGUACGUAUAUUAUAUGCAAUUUCGACCAUUUCCCCUUGUCCAAUCGAAAUUUGGGCUUCUUUGAACUUUUACUGGAUAAAGAGGUUGAUAGGUGAGUUAUUAUUGGGAAAUUAUCACUGCUACAUAUGUACGUAGAUUAAUUAAGUUUUGGCUGUUUAGUUUAGGGGCGAUAGCAGAAGAACAAAGGACUAGGUCUAUAUCCGUGAGCAAAAUAUGAGUAAAAAAGUAAAAGUGCGUAGGAUAGCCGUUUAAAAUGAUCAAGCUUACCGCUACCAUAAAACACAAGGUACUUUAGGAUUUUACCUCUUCGGUUAUUACAUCUGGAACCCCAAAGAGGACUCCAAUAUGAGAAAAAAGAAAAAAGUGAGAAGGAAUUAUUAAUCUUCAUCGUCGUAGUGAGAGAUGGAAUUUGUUUGUAGAGAAUUGGUUAUGUAUUUUUGUGGAAUGAGUGGGAUACCUGUUUGGUUGAGUUUUGUUUUAGUUUGGGUAAACUUUAAGUUAAGAGUGUUUUUAGCAGCAGUUAGCAAAUCACGUUAAUUAUUUUUAUACUCUUACAUCAUGUUGCUGCAGAGUAUAUUAAUUUUGUUCUUCUACCGGUUGUUUGUAUCACCUAAAAACACCCGAGAAAGAUAUAGGGUUAUUUAUAAAUAAAUGAUCAAGACCGGCUUUGGUAAUUGGUGGAGUUUAGACAUUUUCGAUUGGUCAAAUUGUGUGAUAUUCGAUCGUUCGGUAUGUAUGGAAGCUAUAUGCUAUAGUGAGCCGAUCUGAACAAUUUCAUCCGAUAUUACAUAAUUUCUAUGAACAAUAACUCAUACCAAAUUUCGUGAAGAUAUAUUGUCAAAUGAGGAAGUUUCCAAUGCAAGCAUUUGAUUCCGAUCAUUCAGUUUGGAGCUAUAUGCUAUAGCUAGCCGAUCUGAACAAUUUCGUCGUAUAUUACAUUAUUAUCUUAGAAAAUAACCUGUGCCAACUUUUGUGAAGAUACAUUGUCAAAUGUGAAAGUUUCCAUACAAGAACUUGAUUCCGAUCGUUCAGUUUGUAUGGCAGCUAUAUGUUAUAGUGGUCCGAUAUCGGCAGUUCCGACAAAUGAGCAGCUUCUUGAAGAGAAAAUAACGUUUGCAAAAUUUCAAAAUGAUAUCUUAAAAACUGCUGGAUUAGUUCGUAUAUAUACAGACGGACAGACAGACGGACAUGGCUAAAUCGACUCAGCUCAAUAUACUGAUCAUUUAUAUAUGUACAUUAUAUACUUUAUAGGGUCCUCGACGCUUUCUUCUGGGUCUUACAAACUUCGUGGCAAACUUAAUAUACCCUGUUCAGUGUAUAAUAACAACACAGAGCUAAUGCUGGAGAACACUAAUUUUCGUAUGCAUGGAUAUUUAGUAUAUGUUUUAUACUGAUUGUUGCUCCUAAACAAGCGAGUUGCAUUCACAACAAACCAAACGUGAUAUUUAACAUAAAAAAAUAACGGAAUAACGACAGUGUUGAUUAAAACAUCUAUUAUAAUUUGAGGUAUACAGAGGCACACAUUUUGCACAGAGCUUUCGCCUCUUUAGGGCGUCAUUGUCCUCCGUGCUAUUUUCGCCUCUUUCCAACUUAGCAAAUUUCUAUUCAACGGUGGAUUUCCCUGGUGAAGAACCCAAAUUCAACAGUAUUUUUCCCCAAAAAGCAAUUAUCACACGAAAUAUUUUUUUAUCCAUUUUUUGUAAACUAACACAAGCUGCUUCACCCAAAAUGCUAUAUCUCAUUAACUAAUAGCUCAUCAGUUUCCAAAUGUAAUUUUACAGUAAUACCACAAAAACUAUGUAAUUUCUUUGUUGUUGUUCUCUGCUGGGGGAUUAAAGUAAACUUGGACAAUCUUUUUAUACUCUUGCAACAUGUUGCCACAUGUUGUUCACCUAACGGUUGUUUAUACCACCUAAAACUACUAUAUGUAUGUAUAUAAAUGAUCAAAAUGAUGAGACCAGUUGAAUUCCGCGUCGACUGUCUGUCUGUAAUUUGAGUCAAAAUUCCGAAAAUGUAAUGAAAUUUGAUAAACAUGAUGCCUGACAAAAAAGUAAAGCCGAGUUUGUAGAAGAGCUUAAUAGGAUUACUGCCACUCCCACUAAAUGCCAUAAGUCGAAAACUAAUAAAGAGCUAUAACUAAGCAAGAAAUUAAGAUACAAAACUGUAAUUUGCACAGGAAAUUACAGUAGCAAAGGGCACCUAUGGGCACAAAGUAUUGAAAAAAUUUGCGCAGCGCUUACGCGGUUAUAGCCGAGAUAACAACAGCGCCAGUCGAUUCUUCUUUUCGUUAUUUGACGCGUCUUGCUCCACCUGAUCUCUCUAACUGAAUGGAGGCCUUCCUCUUCCUCAGCUUCCACCGACGGGUACUGAACAGAAAACGUUCAAAGCUGGAGUGGAGAUAAAGCAGAACAAACGGCGCAGUUGUUGAGGCUUUUAUAAUAGACUAGCUGAUUCGGCGAACUUGGUGCCGCCUAACAGUCAAAGAGUGUGAUGUUACAGAUAAGCAGAACUUUAUGAUUUUUUGAAAGCAAUACAAUGAAUACAUAUAAUGUUUAUAGCGGCCCGGUACGUGUUUCACUACGUAUGAAGUGAAAUAUUAAAUCAAACUCAUUUAUAAAAAAAAAAUAUAUAUUUAAUUAUUUGCUAGCUAUUCUUGAGUUAUAAAGUCACAACGAAAAAUGGCAUUCAUUUUUAUAUAUGUAUAUAGAUGCACUGCCGUUAUGGCUUUAUGUCAACUUCAAUAAGCUUAAUCCAAAACAUUUGGAUAAACAAUAAUUUUUCUUUUUCCAUUUUGAGCAUGAAUAAACAAACGGCUGGGGGUACCGACUCUGGAACAGACAACAUAAAGUUGGCCAUGAUUCCUCCAAAUUCACGCCACAAACGUUAAGUGUUUGCCCUUGAGCUUUGUUGAUGGACAUCGCAAAUGAUAAACGCAAAGGAUAUUAUUCAAGCAAUGCGGUGGCAUACCAGCCGGUUCUAAUGAAUUCAAAAAUUCAGUUGGAUAAUUCAUUGCCUCAUCUUGAUUCAUAGCACUGUCAAUUGAUUUAUAUGUCGUGACUACGCCUGGGAGUUUUGCUUGAAUUUGAAAAUUAAUGCAUUGAUAUGAAUGUUCUUCGGUGCUAAAAUGGCGCGUUCUGUCAACCAAUCAUGGUUUCUGUAAUUCUGAAGAAUAUUUGGAAAAACACAUUCAAUCAAUUCAUCUAUCGAUUUCGUAAUUGUACAAAAAUUGUUCGGUACAGUGAUCAAUCCGUUGGUUCUGUCGAUUUGUAUUUUGCCAUCACCAAUUUGUAACAAUUGUUCUGAAAACUCAUGGGCAGCUGGAUCAUUUUGUAGGUGAAUACGCAUAUUAAUGUUCAGUGUCAAUUUUUGUACAUAUCUCCAGAACUAAUGACUUCAGACAGGCAUUUAUUUCAUCAGCAGGAGUUGACCGAGGAAUGACAGGCAAUGUUUGUCGAAAAUCCCCUGGCUGUAAUAUCAAAGCAUCACCAAAAAGCUGUUGGUUAUCACGUAAAUCUUGCAUUGUUCGAUUAAAUGCUUCUAAUAAUUUUUUAUUCGCCAUUGUACACUCAUCCCAUAAAAUAAAUGACGUUAAUCGCAGAACUUUUGCCAUAGCAGAAUUUCUUGAAAUAUUGCAAGUUGGAGUUUCAAUCACCUGUAUAUUCAAUGGCAAUUUUAAUGCAGAGUGUGCUGCCCGACCACCUUCUAAUAAUGUAGCAGCAAUUCCCGAAGAUGCAAGUGCCAAUGUAAUUUUCAGUUCCGAUCGAAUAGUGGCUAAAAUCAGUGAUAUAACGAACGUUUUGCCUAUACCACCAGGUGCAUCCAAGAAAUAUAACCCACCUGCAUUAUUGGAAAUGGCUUGCAUGAUUGUGUCAUAGACAUGUUUUUGCUGAAUAUUCAUUUUGGUUAUAUUCGAUUGUACAAAUAAACGCAAAUCAUUAGAAUUGAA